This 483-nucleotide ribosomal RNA is filed under the name uncultured bacterium. Its description in RNAcentral is "partial 16S ribosomal RNA". It matches the Rfam family "Bacterial small subunit ribosomal RNA", at positions 30 to 506 of the family's 1533-position model. The record is from RNAcentral.
AUUGAACGCUGGCGGCAGGCCUAACACAUGCAAGUCGAGCGGAUGAAGGGAGCUUGCUCCUGGAUUCAGCGGCGGACGGGUGAGUAAUGCCUAGGAAUCUGCCUGGUAGUGGGGGAUAACGUCCGGAAACGGGCGCUAAUACCGCAUACGUCCUGAGGGAGAAAGUGGGGGAUCUUCGGACCUCACGCUAUCAGAUGAGCCUAGGUCGGAUUAGCUAGUUGGUGGGGUAAAGGCCUACCAAGGCGACGAUCCGUAACUGGUCUGAGAGGACGACCAGUCACACUGGAACUGAGACACGGUCCAGACUCCUACGGGAGGCAGCAGUGGGGAAUAUUGGACAAUGGGCGAAAGCCUGAUCCAGCCAUGCCGCGUGUGUGAAGAAGGUCUUCGGAUUGUAAAGCACUUUAAGUUGGGAGGAAGGGCAGUAAGUUAAUACCUUGCUGUUUUGACGUUACCAACAGAAUAAGCACCGGCUAACUUCGU